RNAcentral lists this non-coding RNA (26 nucleotides) under Mus musculus (house mouse). Lineage: Eukaryota; Metazoa; Chordata; Mammalia; Rodentia; Muridae. The record is from RNAcentral.
UGGUCACUUGAUGUUUGACAAAGAAG